This 253-nucleotide ribosomal RNA is filed under the name uncultured bacterium. RNAcentral describes it as "partial 16S ribosomal RNA". It matches the Rfam family "Bacterial small subunit ribosomal RNA", at positions 524 to 776 of the family's 1533-position model. The record is from RNAcentral.
UACGAAGGGGGCUAGCGUUGUUCGGAAUUACUGGGCGUAAAGCGCACGUAGGCGGACUACUAAGUCAGGGGUGAAAUCCCGGGGCUCAACCCCGGAACUGCCUUUGAUACUGGGGAUCUCGAGUCCGGGAGAGGUGAGUGGAACUGCGAGUGUAGAGGUGAAAUUCGUAGAUAUUCGCAAGAACACCAGUGGCGAAGGCGGCUCACUGGCCCGGAACUGACGCUGAGGUGCGAAAGCGUGGGGAGCAAACAGG